Molecule: ribosomal RNA, 34 nt
Filed under: Agdestis clematidea
Lineage: Eukaryota; Viridiplantae; Streptophyta; Magnoliopsida; Caryophyllales; Agdestidaceae
Description: 4.5S ribosomal RNA
Source: RNAcentral
GCUGAGGCAUCCUAACAGACCGAUAGACUUGAAC